GUUGGUGGAGUGAUUUGUCUGCUUAAUUGCGAUAACGAACGAGACCUUAACCUACUAAAUAGUUACGCCGACCCUUGCGUCGGCGGGCAACUUCUUAGAGGGACUUUUGCGUGUUUUAACCAAAGGAAGUUUGAGGCGAUAACAGG
Molecule: ribosomal RNA, 146 nt
Filed under: Apusomonadidae sp.
Lineage: Eukaryota; Apusomonadida; Apusomonadidae
Description: partial small subunit ribosomal RNA
Rfam family: Eukaryotic small subunit ribosomal RNA
Source: RNAcentral